Molecule: ribosomal RNA, 469 nt
Filed under: uncultured bacterium
Lineage: Bacteria
Description: partial 16S ribosomal RNA
Rfam family: Bacterial small subunit ribosomal RNA
Source: RNAcentral
AACGAACGUUGGCGGCGUGGAUUAGGCAUGCAAGUCGAACGCGAAUCCCUGGGCAACUGGGGAGGAGAGUGGCGAACGGGGCAGUAAGGCGUGGGUAACCUACCCUCCGGGCCGGGAUAGCUUCGGGAAACUGAAGGUAAUACCGGGCGACGCAUCGAGAUCGCAUGGUCUUGCUGCCAAGGGUCCGCGGCCGGGGGAGGGGCUCACGUGGUAUUAGCUAGACGGCGGGGUAACGGCCCACCGUGGCAAAGAUGCCUAGCAGGUGUUAGAGCACGACCUGCGCCGCUGGCACUGAGACACUGGGCAGACGCAGACGGGUUGCUGCAGUGGGGGAUCGUCGGCAAUGGGCGCAAGGCUGACGGGGCGAAGCCGCGUGUGCGAUGAAGGCCUUCGGGUUGUAAAGCACUGUCGAGGGGGAGGAAGCCGCAAGGUUGACGGAUCCCUGGAGGAAGCACGGGCUAAGUUCGUG